AAGGCGACGAUCCCUAGCUGGUCUGAGAGGAUGACCCGCCACACUGGGACUGAGACACGGCCCAGACUCCUACGGGAGGCAGCAGUGGGGAAUUUUGGACAAUGGGGGAAACCCUGAUCCAGCCAUGCCGCGUGAGUGAAGAAGGCCUUCGGGUUGUAAAGCUCUUUCGGCCGGGAAGAAAUCGCACAGGCUAAUACUCUGUGUGGAUGACGGUACCGGCAUAAGAAGCACCGGCUAACUACGUGCCAGCAGCCGCGGUAAUACGUAGGGUGCGAGCGUUAAUCGGAAUAACUGGGCGUAAAGCGCACGCAGGCGGUUAGAUAAGUCAGAUGUAAAAGCCCCGGGCUCAACCUGGGAACUGCAUCUGAUACUGGCAAGC
RNAcentral lists this ribosomal RNA (379 nucleotides) under uncultured bacterium. Its description in RNAcentral is "bacterial SSU rRNA". It matches the Rfam family "Bacterial small subunit ribosomal RNA", at positions 270 to 641 of the family's 1533-position model. The record is from RNAcentral.